This 490-nucleotide ribosomal RNA is filed under the name uncultured Marinobacter sp. Its description in RNAcentral is "bacterial SSU rRNA". It matches the Rfam family "Bacterial small subunit ribosomal RNA", at positions 75 to 559 of the family's 1533-position model. The record is from RNAcentral. Lineage: Bacteria; Pseudomonadati; Pseudomonadota; Gammaproteobacteria; Pseudomonadales; Marinobacteraceae.
GGUGCUUGCACCCCGCUGACGAGCGGCGGACGGGUGAGUAAUGCAUAGGAAACUGCCCAGUGGUGGGGGAUAGCCCGGGGAAACCCGGAUUAAUACCGCGUACGCCCUUCGGGGGAAAGCAGGGGAUCUUCGGACCUUGCGCUAUUGGAUGUGCCUAUGUCGGAUUAGCUAGUUGGGGGGGUAAAGGCCUACCAAGGCGACGAUCCGUAGCUGGUCUGAGAGGAUGAUCAGCCACAUCGGGACUGAGACACGGCCCGAACUCCUACGGGAGGCAGCAGUGGGGAAUAUUGGACAAUGGGGGCAACCCUGAUCCAGCCAUGCCGCGUGUGUGAAGAAGGCUUUCGGGUUGUAAAGCACUUUCAGUGAGGAGGAAAACUCUGCGACUAAUACUCGUAGGGCUUGACGUUACUCACAGAAAAAGCACCGGCUAACUCCGUGCCAGCAGCCGCGGUAAUACGGAGGGUGCAAGCGUUAAUCGGAAUUACUGGGC